GCUGAGGGGACACCAGGGACAGUGAGCGUCCCGUAAGCCGAAGGCCCUCUAGCUGCAAGGCCACGCCCCUCCCCCACCUAAGCAGAUGUGGAUGGCGAGACCUUGGGGGGACCAGACCUUGGGGGGACCGCAGGACGGUGUGAAGGGCGCGAACAUUCUCAUUGGCCCCAGCAGUGGCUGAGGAGUGCGAAAGCAUUUCAAAGCCUGACCCAGGCACCUGCUUGAAUGGGCACAGUGGGCGGUAGCUCGCCCUGCCAGGCACUGCUUAAAAGAAAACCCCCGUGGGCUGGGGAUGCAGUUGGGGGCGAGCACUCGCCUGGCGUGAGCUAAACCCCUGGCCCAAGAUACUAUUUCUUUUAAAUUUGUGCUAUAGGGGAAUUGAAUCAGAAUCUUUGCACUGAGCUCCACCUUCAGCCUCUGUUUACUUUUAAUAUUGAUUUAUUUUUGUAGUUCAAGCUGGCCUUGAACUCACCUUGUAGCCCAGGCUGACCUUGAACUCAUGGCCAUCCUCCUGCCUCAGCCUCCCAGAGGCUGGAACUACAGGCAAGUGCCUGCUCUGAGCCUCGCUCCCAGCCCUGACAGGAACACCCACCGUCUCAAACUCCUACACAUCACUCAAAACACCCCCUGUAGUCACCUCCCCACGCUCCCGGUUACUGUGGGCCAGCUCUCUGCUCCAUGUCAUGAAGAGAGGCAACACAGAAGACCCCCAGCACCACAGAGGCAGAGAUGCAACAGGCCAGCACCCCAAUCCGGAGCAUUAGCGUUCCAUUCAGAGAGGUGGGAAAUCUUUGACACAGAUUUCUCCGGGGGUUUUCACAAGCUACCAGGAAUGUUUGGGGACUUCCUUGCCCGGUCUGCCUAUGAAUCAGUCACCAAGCUGCCUGAAGACUGAGGUCUGACACACUGCUUGGCCAGGUACCGUGGUGGCUGUUUGUACUGGGGAUGGGAGCUGGGGCUUUCCACCGAGCCACAUUCCCAGCCCCUUUAUUAUUAGUGUUUGAAAUUUUGAGAUAGAGUCUCACUAACUAGCCCAGGCUGCUCUUACACUUGGGAUCCUCCUGCCUCAGCUUCUCGAGUGCUGGGAUUAUAGUCCUAUAAUACCAGUUCCACUUUUCUGUUUUUUAAUUCCCUGAGUUUUGUCUUACUUUGUUCUGUUGUGAUUUUUUUUUUUUUGCCUUGGUAACAAAAUUUUCAAAGCUCAAAAAUCCUCAAAGCAGAGAAAUUCCCUCCCUGUACUCUCCCAAGGCCACAUGUGCACCCAAGCCGACUGUCAUUUCCAGAGUUUUCUUUUAAGGUUUCUGUUUUUUUGUUUUUGUUUUUGUUUUUAGACGAGAUCUCUCUAUGUAGUUCAGGCUAGCCUCGAACUCACCUCGAUCCUCCUGCCUCAGCCCCCUGAGCACUGGGAUGGCAGACAUGAGCCACCGCACCCGGCCAGGGCUCUAAGGGCAAACAGAAAGCCCCCCCGCCCCGGCCUCUGGCACCUGCCAAGGCAGAAGUGGCAUGCCACUCAUGCCCAGCAUAUUUUUCUUCUUUCCAAGGCCUGGCACACCUCGGAGCGCCUCGCCCCACACGCAAAGCAAGCACUCCUUUUCCCCUGGGAUGAUGGCCAGAGGGCCCUUCCUCCGCCCGGCCCUACACUGAGUGCCCUACACCCUUAAGCCCCCCACUCGGCUGUGGUGUGGACCGUGGAAGCCGCUGAGCGACAGGGCCCUGCCCAGCACACACCGGGCCCCGGGUUAGACCAGCUCCCCUUCAGGUCCCCUCUGGCCAGGGCCCGGGACUGGAUUUUUAUGUCACACAGAGGACACUUGCACAAGUCUCUUGGAGAACUGACCCCACCCCAGCACAGCUGUUACCAAUUCCCUUGAUUGUUGUCAAUAUAUGAAAAAUGUUGUCCCGGGGCUGGUUUGAAAUUGCAUCUUAAAAAAAUAAUAAUGAUAAAUUGCA
This is a long non-coding RNA of Cavia porcellus (domestic guinea pig), 1950 nucleotides long. RefSeq lists it as uncharacterized. NCBI's taxonomy places the organism in Eukaryota, Metazoa, Chordata, Mammalia, Rodentia, Caviidae. The transcript has 2 exons. The record is from RefSeq and is a predicted model, not a curated record.